ACUUCCAUCAUGUGAACCCCACUUAAGCAAGCCGUAUUUGUGUUUCUAUUCCAAUAAUGUAGAAACUCUUACCAUUUUGGGACCUAAGUUAUACUGCCUGUCUUUUCUUGCUGCUGUAUGGGAAAGCACAUGAAUCUGAAGAAUUUGUAAGUAAACCAUUUUUAACCUACCAAACGUGUGGUCUCUCUUUCUAUGCUAAGGGAAGUGGGGGACUUUGGAUGCAAACCAGAAGGGGAUAUUUUAAAGAUCUAACAGCCUAUAUUUCCACACCUUUGCUGCAUAUUUUGUGAUUUUAAAUCUCUGCUGAGUCUCUCUCACCAAAUAGUACUUGCCCCAAGUACUCUAGGCACCCAGGAAAUCCUCAUUUUAUUAUACCAUAUCUACAUUUUUCUCUUUUAACCAAACUAACCAACAAAAUCUUACUCUUUGCUUGGGAUACAUCAUAUUUUGAAAGGUGAAGACAUGCUGUAAAGCUAUUAUACAAGAUAAACUGUUAGGAAUUCUUGUGUUUGGAACAGUUUCAACAGGAUGGAGAGGGAAACAGAUGACCUUCUGAUACCUUCCAUACCUAGAAUUAUGAUUCUUUAAAGCCAUAGUGAUACUGUCACAGUCUUGUCAUGUCUUCAAACCACACGAAUCUCUCUUGCAUGUGAGGAAAAGAUAAAGUGAUAAUAAAAGUAUGAUGAAAUGGUUAUUAUCACAAAGAUGGUUGCAAUACUGGGGAAAUAGGAUUCAAAAACAUGGAGUAACUGUACACAUAAUAGAAUGUUUGGAUAAGAUUAAGAGAGUUCCUUGUUUCAGCUGACACUAUCAGUACAAGAAAAGUAAUAUUGCUUUAAAAAACCCUGUAAACUGAAAGCCUGAGAAAGUUCUUAUCUAUAGGACCAAGACAAGAAUACUCCAAACCACAGAUAGGAAGAUUUAGAAAUGUCUUCAUGUGCUCCAGAUAUGAACAAAAGUGGAAUAGGAAAGUACUGAGAGCAUUUCUGCCUAAUUUAUAUCUGUAGUUUAAGCCAUUACCUCCCAUUUAAAAAUGGCCUUGGAUAUUCAUGGUAUUAAAUAAUAGAAACCAAUAAAUAAAUACUUGUUGGUAAAAUAAAUUCACAUCUCAAAGGUCUGCCUUUGAGACACAGUUUUCAGAUGUCUAAAAGAACGCAGAGAUGAUUUCUGCCCAACCUCUAUUGACAGGGAUUUCAGCAAGACAGGGCCUGCCACACGGAAGACUCAGUCCCUAGCAAAGGGUAAGCAAAGGGGCGUGGGGGAACCACUAGCUGUGCCCCAUCAGAGAAUCUCAGUGACUGAGAGGGAACAUAAGCAGCAUGAUUAUCUUGAAGCUACUUUGGGCCCAAUUUUGGGGGGCUUUGAAGUUGGCACAGUAGCAAGAACCUUAAACCUGCCUUGGUAGGCAACUGGCAACCAAUGCAGCUCUCCCUGUUGCCAGACCUUGCACUUGUGAGCAGUCUGGUCUUAGCAAUCUGCACUAGUUGCAACUUCUGGACUGGAUACAGAAGCAGCCGCACAUAAGGCAUGAUGUAGUAAUCGAGCCUUGAGGUUACUGUGGCCAGGAUUAUCUUGGUAGAAGGCAGGCCUGGCCACAGAGUUCACUUGAGACUCUAGUGACACAGGUGGGUCAAGAAGUGCCCCCAAGCUGCAAACCUGCUUCUCCAGAGGGUGUGCGGAACAGGCAACUGAUAAGUACAUAGGAAGAGUUACGUUGGCUAAGCCCAGCAUCCUGUUUCCCAAAGUGACCAACCAGAUGGACAGGUCAUGAACACAACUGGUAUUUUUUAGCAAAUGGUAUUCAGAGGCCUUUGCUCCUGGAGGAAGGACAUAGCCUUCGCAACUGCCAGCCACUGAUGCCUUAUCCUCCAUAAAAUUGUCUAAUCCCCUUCUGAAGCCAUUCAAGUUGAUCACCAUCCGCAUACCUUGUGGUAACCAAAUAGAUUGUUUAGCAAUGUGCCAUAUGUGAAGAAGUACUCUCUCUUGUCUGUAUUGAAUCUCCCCAUCCACUUUCUUCACACCAUUUAUAAAUGUCUGCCAUAUCUGGCCCAUCUACUUGCCUUUUUUAAAAAGAUGAAAAAUUCCCAGUCAUUUUAAUAUUUCUACAUGGAGUUGCUCCAGCCUCAUAAUCAUUUUAGUUGCUUUUGCAAUGUGUGUGUGUGUGUUGUUAAUAGACACUAUUGGGGGGCUCUGCCUUUAUCCCACCUCAUCCAUCACCCCACAAUUUUGAGGUUGGCUUGCUGGAAUGGAAAUGUGCUAUAUUUAAUUUUCAGGUCAUAAGGCAGAAAGGAAGCAGCUGAAAAACAGUUUUUGUUUCUAGAAGUGUGUUGGAUAGGCAUGCAAAAUAUCUUUCCUUCAAUGUGUGACAUACAAACCUCUUUUUAAAAAGUAGCCUGGUUCCUCAGUUCAGAUCAGGCCUGAGACUGCCAGUGGUGUGGACAUGAUUUACCUCUAUAAAUUCUGCCUGUUCCAAAGCUAUUAUAGACAUAAAGGCCUUGGCAGAAAAAAGACAGAGAUGGAGGUUCAAAUACCUGCUCAGUCCACAGAGUCAUGGGAAUAAGACCCUCCCCACCAACGUGGUUUUGGAUGACACCUUCCCUCCUGAGAAUUGGAGAUGCUGCCUGGGACUGGUGGGAUCUGUGGGCCAAUGGCUUAUGGAGGGCACCAGGUUGGGUAUGAUUGUGCUAUACUUUGCACAGAGGUCUUGUGAGGACAAACACCCUGAAGACAAGUGCACUCGUAUAUACAAAAGGUCAGGGCAGAGUAUGAAAAGUAUGAACUGAGAAAAAAGAUCCCAGGAGUUUUGUAAGACAUGUUUAGCACACAGAUUCUUUCCCCUUUACCUUUCCAGAGUGCUUGCUCUCGCUCUCUUGUUAUGAGUUUCUGGAGGCUGUAUGCCAAGACCCUUCUAAUUCCUGGAUCCAGCAUUAAAAAUCUAAGCACGGAUUCAAAUUCAUGGAAUAGCCAGGCUAGCUUCCCGAUGAGGUAAUGGCCUAAAUAUGGGUAGCUAAGGUAACAAACGAAGUGGCUCUGUACCAUAUGGCAGCUGGGUGGGCCUCCCUUCCUCAACUCGCUGGUAGUUAGAAAGACAAAGGCCAAAGCUGAGAGUUGUGUGUGUGUCAUCUAGAAGCAAGGCUGCAGGCUGGGCAGCAGGGAGACAGAACCAUGCCUAAUUUCUGCAGGAAUCCAGGGCUAUGGCUAUGUAAAAAGCCUUUUGGGGUGUUGAUGCUGCGAAGCCCUCCAUCACAGGCUAAGGUUGUACAUAUGUGCAAAUAAACCAUAUAUUCUAAAGACACCACAGUAUCUGAAGGCAACACAAACCCUGGGGAAGUGCCUGGAACCCCUGGAAUCUUGCACUGCUCAGAGAUUGGGGCUUGCAACAAUAGAUAAAAACAUUCUGACAACUUACAUUAAAACAUGACUUCAAACAUGUAGGAUUAGAAUCAAUCUUGACGUUGUUUUCAAUCCCGGUGUCAUAAUUGUUUAUCCCUUUAUUAAAAUAAAUAAACACAUGGUUUCUCAAUCCAGGUUUCUCAUCAAGCCAUGAUUCAGGAAGCUUGACUUCAUGCUUUAAAGUGGACUUCCUAACCCUGGUGUGUGCUAACUGUUGCUUGUUUGAUGUGGCAUCUGAAAUGACUAGCCUCAUCAUUGCUUCAGGGAACUGGAGACCAAACGAAAACAGGCAAUCACCUCUAAACUAUGAUGUGCCUGUAGAUUUGCAAACUAUGGUUGGUACCAGCAAUCAUCUGUUUGAUGUGAUGUCUGAGGGCCAAACCAGAUAUGAUGCAGGAGAACUCGGAUGAGGAUCUCCUGUAAUUUGCCAUUAAAACAAACAGCUAACCCUGCAUGGCUGCUUUUAAAACUAUGGAAGUGGCGCUCAGGGACCAGGAUAAGGUUUUUAACCCUUCUUUCCUUUGGCGGAGGGCUGCAGUGCAGUGGUAGUGCAUAUGUUUUGCAUAUCAAAGGUCUCCAGUUUAUUUUUGGUGUCUCUAGGUAGUGUUGGGAAAGGCUGUUGAGGGAAACCCUGGAGAGCUGCUGCCAGCCAGUUUAGAGACCACCGUGAGCCAUGUGGACCAAAGGCCUGGACUUGGCAGAAUGAAACAACCUUUGGUUGCUGUCAGCUUCACUGAAGGUGGACAAAGGUUAGUUAGUAGGGGGGACUGUCGAUUCUGUUGUUAAAGUGUGGAAUUUAAUUAUAAAUGGGUAGGAUCCUGAGGUGUUUUUGUUUUUUGUUGGAAUGAGGGUGUUGUUGCUUUUUUAUUGUUGUUGUAAAAGCUAUUCAGUGUUGCAAUGGAUUUGUUUUAAUUAUAUUUUGACUGGUGUCCUGCUUUUUAUUAAUAGGUACAGGUGCUGUACCUUUUACUGGUCCUCCACAGAUAACAGCAGCUUUAAGAGGCCUUUUUCACUGAGGUAAAGGCAAAUGAGGGAAGGGUUAAAAGUCUCCCCCAGAGCACCACUUCCCCAAUUUUCAAAGAAGCUAUGGAAGUAACAACUGAUAUAACAACGCCAAGCAACCAAGGAGAUAAAAAUCAGCGAUCUCCUGAAUGCAUCUAGUUUGGCCCUGAAUCGUCUUAACAGCCUUGGUGGAACAAAUGCAAUCAAAGUUCUCUAUUGCACAGAAUUGUGUACUUUUUGUACCAUAGUUUUGGGGUUUGUUUGUUUUUUAAAAAAAUAGUAAUAAUUAAAAAGUUGAAAAGAAAAUCCUGGGCUUUUGAUAUUCUGUCACCUUCAUCUCCCACGAUCUACAAGGUUGAGAACUUGACAUUGGGGUUCAGGUGGUAGCCAGUCAAGCAGGGUCUUCCUUGCCCUCUAGACACAGGACUGGCCUGUUUCAGGAAUUCCUGAUAAUUGUUGUUAUUGUUGCUCCUUGCAGCCCUGGGAAAUACACCUGCAAUGUCUCACAGAAUACGCCUUGUAGCGAGAGGCCGUGGCCCCAGUACACAAGAACAUAGUCUGGUUAUGUAAAGUGUGAUCUAUCUCUCAUCUGUUUAUUGCUCUCAAUUUGUUUGUGAUUCAUAUUUUGUAUGUACAAAUGCUUGUUUAAUUUCUGGCACAAGGACCGUGCUCAUCAAAAGAGAGAGAGACUAAUAGCAUUGCCUGCAGCAAAGCAGUAGCAAGCCAAGUACAGGGCAUGUUAACACAAACAGCUUAGUCAAAGAGAUCCAGGUUCUGGCAUGUGGCUUCUCAAUGGUCUUCUGUUCAACCCAUUCUAUGUCAAAACCAUCAGUUAUGCCAAAUCAUGCCUGUUCCCCCAUAGCCAUUUCAUGGCAGUAGUUGGAUAAAUAUUGUGUUUUCUUCACUAGUAUUGGGAACAGUUCGGCCAAUGUUAUAGCAUUGUAACCUUACUUUUUUCUAAUGAUCUUUUAAAGUUUUUCCUAUAACCAUGUCUUAUAUAACAAUGGAGACAAAGAAUUACACUAAAGUUCAGAGGGCCACAGUUCAGAGGGCCACUUGUGAAAGGGGGGCAAUUUUCAUGCUAAACCAUUACAGAGUGUUCUCACUAACCGUACAUCCCACACACUCAAUAGAAAAUGGGAGAUACU
Molecule: long non-coding RNA, 5543 nt
Filed under: Podarcis lilfordi (Lilford's wall lizard)
Lineage: Eukaryota; Metazoa; Chordata; Lepidosauria; Squamata; Lacertidae
Source: RNAcentral